This 492-nucleotide ribosomal RNA is filed under the name Pseudomonas fluorescens. RNAcentral describes it as "bacterial SSU rRNA". It matches the Rfam family "Bacterial small subunit ribosomal RNA", at positions 29 to 513 of the family's 1533-position model. Lineage: Bacteria; Pseudomonadati; Pseudomonadota; Gammaproteobacteria; Pseudomonadales; Pseudomonadaceae. The record is from RNAcentral.
UAUGAACGCUGGCGGCAGGCCUAACACAUGCAAGUCGAGCGGCAGCACGGGUACUUGUACCUGGUGGCGAGCGGCGGACGGGUGAGUAAUGCCUAGGAAUCUGCCUAGUAGUGGGGGAUAACGUCCGGAAACGGGCGCUAAUACCGCAUACGUCCUACGGGAGAAAGUGGGGGAUCUUCGGACCUCACGCUAUUAGAUGAGCCUAGGUCGGAUUAGCUAGUUGGUGAGGUAAUGGCUCACCAAGGCGACGAUCCGUAACUGGUCUGAGAGGAUGAUCAGUCACACUGGAACUGAGACACGGUCCAGACUCCUACGGGAGGCAGCAGUGGGGAAUAUUGGACAAUGGGCGAAAGCCUGAUCCAGCCAUGCCGCGUGUGUGAAGAAGGUCUUCGGAUUGUAAAGCACUUUAAGUUGGGAGGAAGGGCAGUUACCUAAUACGUGAUUGUUUUGACGUUACCGACAGAAUAAGCACCGGCUAACUCUGUGCCAGCA